Molecule: ribosomal RNA, 382 nt
Filed under: uncultured bacterium
Lineage: Bacteria
Description: bacterial SSU rRNA
Rfam family: Bacterial small subunit ribosomal RNA
Source: RNAcentral
UGGGGAAUAUUGCACAAUGGGCGCAAGCCUGAUGCAGCCAUGCCGCGUGUAUGAAGAAGGCCUUCGGGUUGUAAAGUACUUUCAGCGAGGAGGAAGGCAUUGUGGUUAAUAACCGCAGUGAUUGACGUUACUCGCAGAAGAAGCACCGGCUAACUCCGUGCCAGCAGCCGCGGUAAUACGGAGGGUGCAAGCGUUAAUCGGAAUUACUGGGCGUAAAGCGCACGCAGGCGGUCUGUCAAGUCGGAUGUGAAAUCCCCGGGCUCAACCUGGGAACUGCAUUCGAAACUGGCAGGCUAGAGUCUUGUAGAGGGGGGUAGAAUUCCAGGUGUAGCGGUGAAAUGCGUAGAGAUCUGGAGGAAUACCGGUGGCGAAGGCGGCCCCC